Molecule: small RNA, 5466 nt
Filed under: Pongo abelii (Sumatran orangutan)
Lineage: Eukaryota; Metazoa; Chordata; Mammalia; Primates; Hominidae
Description: retained intron
Source: RNAcentral
AGCUCAGCCCAGCUUUCAGAUUCUUCUACAGGGCUGAGUGCUUCUAGACAAUGCUUUAUUUCCUAGGAUUUGGUAUGGCUGAGUUUGUUUUUAAGUGUGGAAAAGAGUGAUUAUGAAAAAUGCUUGAGAAGACAGCACUGUCCUCAGAGACUGUGUCUUUACACUUGGACAGGUAGCAAAUGUUUGUUUUCAUUAAAACUUCAAUAGUUUUCCUAAUUUGUUUCACUGUCAUAAAGUCCAGCAGUCUAUUCUUAGAGAAAUCAUGGAGCUGAGGCUGCUUACCCACUGGGAAAAAUCAUCCCUGAGAAUAUUAGCUUUUUUUUUUUUUUUUUCCCAACUCAGAUUUUUAUUCCAGUCCUGGAAGGCCUAACAUUCAGUCCUGGAAGGCAUAACAUUCAGUGUCAUGAAAUUCAUCAUCUAUACCAUAGGCAGGAAUGGCUAAAUUUCUUUUACUCUGCAGAACUGGCUUGGAAAAUAUUUUGUACUAUCUAUUUCUUAGGAGUAAUUUGAGAAAUAAUUGACUUUACUACAGAAUCCUCUCCAUCCUCUGGAUCAGUGAGUAGCCUCAAGGUAUAUUAUAUUGUCUAAGAGUAUGGGCUUUAGGGUUGUAUAAUCCUGAGUUUGAAAAUUGGUUGUUACUCGUUAAACUAUGUAACCUUGGACAUAGUUAAUGUACCUUUCUGCACCUGUUCCCUAUCUUUAAAAUAAGCAUAAUGGUGCUUGCCUCAUGGAACUGUUACAAAGAUUAAGUGGCACACGCAUGAUGAUAAACACACAGUGCCUGGCAGAUAAUAAUGGGUUCAGUAAUGUUAAUUUAGACGUCUCUUCCCUGCCUUCUUAUCCCCAGUUCAGAUUGAGCAUAUCCUAUGUGCUCUAUGGGAGCCAAAACCCCAUAAGCUUUUAGAAAAUAUAUUAAACAGGCUGGGCGCAGUGGCUCAUGCCUGUAAUCCCAGCACUUUGGGAGGCUGAGGCAGGUGGAUCACGAGGUCAGGAGAUCGAGACCAUCCUGGCUAACACGGUGAAACCCCGUCUCUGCUAAAAAUACAGAAAAUUAGCCGGGCGAGGUGGCGGGCGCCUGUAGUCCCAGCUACUCAGGAGGCUGAGGCAGGAGAAUGGCAUGAACCCGGGAGGCAGAGAUUGCAGUGAGCCGAGAUGGCGCCACUGCACUCCAGCCUGGGUGACAGCAAGACUCCGUCUCAAAAAAAAAAAAAAAAAAAAAAAAAAAAAAAAAAUAUAUAUAUAUAUAUAUAUAUAUAUAAAACAGUAUAAAUUUCUAAUAGUUCUAGAAGACAUGCUAUCAGUGACGAAUUUAUAAUUAUUUUUGAAAGAUGGAUAAAGACAAGAUAACUGGAGAAAUAAAUAGAAAGAUAGCCCAAAGUGCAUGCCAGGAGUAAGUUGCUGUGAGGUGGGAACUGAUUAGAGGAGGUUUUUGACCCAGAAUUAAAGGGCAGAAGGAGUAGUGAUAGGACCUGGGCAUUUGUGUGGGUGAUAAAUUUGGACUCAUUUUGGAAUAGCUAGGUUAGAUUUUCCUUUCCUGUCCUCUUACCCCACCAGAGCCUUCUUCCUUGAAGUAGUGGUGUUUCAUUCUAUUCUGAAGCAGUGGAUAGGGACUCUGGCAGGAACUUCUGAGCAUGCCCCAAGUGGUUACCGAUUCCCAGGAGGAACUGGGAGGUGAGGAAAAAUGUGCUGGCCUUUAGAUUUAAAUAUCCCUGGAAAGCUUUGCAGAAGCCUGAAAAUAGACUCACACCGCUAUCCAUGGUGGUGAAAUGUCAGAAUGUUGAAAACAUAAAAAGGAAAAUCUAAAAGUUAUACAUCAGCACCAGAGGUUCAAGACAGAGUAAUAGGCAAGAAGUAAAAAAGGAAUACAGAUUGGAAAGAAAAGGUAAAACAGUCUUCAUUUGUAGAUGACGUACUUAUGUCUAUAGAAAAUCCUACUGAAUAAACAAUAAAAAGUCUAUAAUGAAGUAGUUUCACAGGCUACAAGGUCAUUAUAUAGCAGUUUAUUGCACUUCUAUAUACUAGUAAUGAAGAACUGAAAUUGAAAUUUUAAAAGGUACUGUCUUUAAUCAUUUCCAUCUGAGACUUUGUCAGCCUGGCCUUCACUGUCCAUAUUUCUGUCAGUAUUUUGGUCAAAACCAUUUAACAAGUCUCUAAGAAGUUCCAGACUUUCCCUCAUCUUCCUGUCUUCUGAACCCUGCAAACUCUUCCAACUUCUGCCCAUCAGAAAACAUUAAUUCUUAGGAAUAAACUUAACAAAUUGUAUUUAAGACCGGUAUGUCAAAAAUAACUAAACACUGUCAAGAGAAAAUCAAGACAAACGUAAAUAGAUGGAGAGAGAGAUACCACGUCAGUCGACUGAAAGAUUCAGUAUUGGUGGUGGAACAGAUGGAAGUUCUCCCCAAAUUGAUCUGUAGAGUCAGUGUAAUACCACAAGUUUGUUGCUGUUUUUUGCAAAAGCUUAAAAGGCAAAAACCAGACCACCUACAAGUAAGAAAGAAUCCGAUUCCCUCUUAAAUACAGCACUGGAUAUUAGAAUACACGGAAGAAUUGAAUAGCUUUAAAUGUUUGAGACGAAAAUGGCUUAAAUCUAGAAAUUCCUUUUCUAGAGGAAUUGCUCAAGGAUAUAUUCUUGGGAAAAAUCUAAGAAAAUUGAAAGAUAAGAAACAGCAUAAAAAAUUCAGUCCAAAAGGUGUUGAUUUGUGAUACUGAACAUGAACCAGUCAGCUAAAAAUCCCCGAUAAUCUCAUGAUGGGAAUUGGCAGAGCCGCAGGGGAAGGAAGGAGAAUGGUGUGUAGUUGUUAUUUGGAGAGAGUAUGUAGUACUCAGUACAGUGCCUGAUAAAAGAUAAUGAAUAUUGUUGAAUAAUUGCAUCCCGAUUAACUCUAUAUUGAUAGAAAAGAAGUAGGCUUAAAUAUGUUUUUAAAUCUCUAGAAUAGAAACAGGAUGUUUUCAAACCAGUAAAUUCAACAAACAAGGAUACAAGAACAAAAACUCCAUCAACCAAAACAAAAAGGUGUUUUGUUUUGUUUUGUUUCGCCUUGGGACUUGAAAGUAAAAAGCUAAAGUGACCUGCUUGCAAAUGGAAGAAUGACCUUCAGUAAUGUUCACAUAAACAGAUCUUCCAUAUGACAGCACUUGCCCUGCCAAGUGUCAGGUCACUGGGCAAAUAAAAGGAGGGUGGAGUGUAGGUCUUGAACACUAGAGAGGCCAGGUGUUUGGACUAAUCUGUAGCAUUUUAUGUUUCUUGCAGAUGUUCCCACAAGCCUGCAUUUCCAGAGCAUGCUGAAAUCUCAGUGGCAGAACAAGCCUUUUGACAAAAUCAAACCUCCCAAAAAGUUAUCGCUUAAGCACAGAGCACCCAUGCCGGGCAGUCUGCCAGAUCCAGCUCGUAAGGACAGGCACAAAUUGGUCAGCUCCUUCCUAACAACAGCCAGUAAGUGUCAGGGAGCCGGGAAGUCCCCCAGAGUAUCAGUGACUUUUCAUUCCUUUUAUAUUCUCAAAUUUGUAGUUUGCAUGCAUGUCGGGGUUGGGAGAGGCAGUUGACUGAUAACAAAUUCAGCUCACAGUGACUGCUUCUGCUUGUCUUGGAUGCUCUCAGAUGGACUUCGGGAGCUAUUCUAGACACCAUGGAUCUUGGAGCAAGACCCAAAAUGCUCAGUGAACAGCCAGCAAUGGCAUGGCAUUGAGUUCAUCUACGGUCAGGUGUCUUCUGUAUCCUGGUGACAUGUUUCUCUGGUUCUGGGCUCCCUGUGCCUUACCUAGCCAUUGUGCAAAUUACUAGAAACUUCAGUCCUGAAGGACUGUCCUGCUGCCCUGGGUAUACAGCGUUGGCCUAGAGAGAACUCGAGAGCUUGGAACUCGAAUAAGAAAAUAUUUGAGAGGACAUAUUUCACAGCUCUUUUUCUGUUCCCCUCUUCAGAGCUGUCCCAUCACCAAACCCGGCCUGACAGGACCCACAGGCAGCACUUAGACGAUGUGGGGGCCGUGCCCAUGGUGGAGCGAGUGACAGCGCCAAAAGCAGAGCGCUUGCUCAACCCACCGCCACCCGUGCAUGACCCAAACCACAGCAAAAUGAGAUUGCGAGACCAUUCAUCUGAGAGAAGUGAAGUGUUGAAGCAUCACACAGACAUGAGCAGUUCGAGCUACUUGGCAGCCACCCACCAUCCUCCACACAGUCCCUUGGUGCGACAGCUCUCCACCUCCUCAGACUCCCCUGCACCCGCCAGCUCUAGCUCACAGGUUACAGCCAGCACAUCGGUAAGUACCUGUGUGGGGUUGGCCGGACACCCCCUCUGCAGGUCACAGCUCACUCAAGUGGCUCCAGAGGACAGUGUGAGGGUGGGUUAUAAAGCCCAGGGCAUUUAUAGGAUCUCAGCUCAUCAUGACGUAUGUAUGUAUGUCUGUACCAUUUUUAAGUCAAAGUCAUGGUGCUUGACUUUCUGUUGUUUUUCUUGAGUUGUUUUUCAUAGCAGAGAUGGAUUUAUGCUGAGCCAUCCAUAGAAAGCUUGAUGCAGGGACAAACUCUUAAGGUGAUCUGUGACUAUUCAAGAUCUGUUGGACUAAGUUUCACACAGGACUCAACAAUUCCGUGGCCCUAAUCCUGUUGGCCCAAGAAGUGAACAAGAGAGGAGGGGUAGAGGGGAGAUUCCCAUGGGCGUUGGAAGCAGUGUUUGAUUUCCUUGGUUUUACUCUCCGGGUGAGUGGAGGUGAAUUACUGAGAAUAAACACUAGGCGUGAGGGUACCAGAAGAGAAGGGAAGGGAGAAGGCAGAGUCCAUGCUUUUUAGGUAUACAGAGCAGAAUUACAGAUCCAGCAGGCCCCCAUGGCAGGACAUUUGGCAUGCACACACCAGAUUUUACGAUACCACACUCCAUCUGGAAGCAGUUUGCACAGCUAUUCCAGACACAUUUCCUUUAAUUUCAUUCUAAUAUUUUAAUUCCUCAAGUGUGCCCUCUUGGAACAUAUAUACCUGUAGCUGCUAUGUACCUACUCAAAGGGUCCUUUUGGUAUAAUAAUUACAAUGUAAUGUAAUGGUAAAUGUAAAACUCUACAACUGUAAUGUUUAUUGAACAUUUACUACAUGCCAGUGAUCAGUGAUUUACAUGUGUUACAUGUUAUAAUGCCUUUUGAGAUGUAGGUUGGUACUGUGGAUUUCAUUUUAUAUGCAUGAAAACUGUCAAGGUAACUUGUGAGGGUUAUAAUUAUGAUUCAAACUCAGGCAGCCUGACUGUAGAGCCAGCUCUUUUACCAUUACACUACACAGGCUAAGCCUGUAUGAGGGUAUUGCAGAGGCAACUUAGGAAGUUCCUUCAGAGUCUAGAUCAGGAAACUUCCAAGCUCAUAAAAUGGACUCACUAGGCUCCUGUGAUCAGGUAGGAAUUCACAUUGUUCUCACUUUGCUAUUACAAAUCAAUCUUUUCCAAAUGGUCUGUUUGCUCUUGCCCUUUCUUUACCCCCCUAACCCAC